CUUCCCAGCGGAUUGACAGGGAGCGCCGGCGCAGUCCGUGGGAGAGCGUACCAGAACACGGUUCCUGCGACUUUAAGAUGUAAACGAUUCAUGGAGUGCUUCGUGGAACAUUAGUGUUUGGAAGUGAUCAGGGAAGAUAACGCCACGGAUUUUUCUUGGUGCCACUGUCAGAAUCAGCUGGCAGCGUUCCAAGUUCAUUAGACCCUCAACAUGUUUGUUGAUGAUGGAUGUGCGUGGAGCCACACUAAGGUGGAAAUUCAUGUUUUCGUAAGUGGCCAAGACAUGGAAACAAGCAGAUGAUUGG
Long non-coding RNA from Hipposideros armiger (great roundleaf bat), 304 nucleotides. RefSeq lists it as uncharacterized. The record is from RefSeq and is a predicted model, not a curated record. NCBI's taxonomy places the organism in Eukaryota, Metazoa, Chordata, Mammalia, Chiroptera, Hipposideridae. The transcript has 3 exons.